CGAGGGUGUUAGACCUUAAUCAAUGUGACAACAUGACAAUUACAUGCUAUCAUUUUAAUGAUCAUAUCUCCAUACUUAAUAAAAACCUCCUUUAAACGCCACGUGUCCAUUUUAUACGCAAGCAAGAUGCCAAGUGUCAUUCUCUCCACUAAUUUAUUCACUUUUUUCCCGCCAAUUCAAUUAAUUUCUAUAGAUUUAAUACCUGAUCUGAUUCCCUACAAUUUAGCAGACUAUUUUGGUCGGUUUCCAUUUACUUUAUCUCUAUCUCUAUUCCUGCAUUCCUACAUUGAAUUUGAAUUUGAAUUUGAAUUUGAAAUGAACAUUCAAUUUCAAUUCAUAAAAAUCAACAAUUCGUAAUGAAUUAUUCAAUCCCUGAUUUUUCUCCAUUUAGUUUGCAUUCUUUAUGCAAUCAAUUCCAAAUCAUCGAUGGAUUCUUAAUUUCAAAAUAUGUAAGGCAAUCUUAUUCUAUUUUCAAUCUUAUAUGUGUGUUCGCACUAUAUUAUUACAAACAAUUCAAUGGACUAGGUUUUUAUGCCACGAUUCUCAUACUAUGGGAAGAUGAAUAUUCCUUGGAAUUCAUUUUGAUUCUUGUAACGACAUGUGGAUGUGUUCUUUGAUAAUAAGAUGAAAGUUCUUCUGUAAGGAUCGAUUUUUGAUCUACUACCCUCCUAUUUAAGUCUCGAACACUUUUCAUGGUAAUUUCUUCUCCAUCUCUAAUCUUUGGUUUUUGAUUUACUAUGUUUUUAAUUGGUUUUGAUUUUUAGGGUUUGAUGCAUUUCUUGUGGUACGUAGAUUAUCCUUCAAUGUUAGUAUGCCCGAAUUGGUAAUUUUUUAUUGCUUUUUCUGCAAUAUUAUUUUUUGGGCUUCGCUGUGCAGCAUAAAAAAUUUAUGCAUCCAUUGCCCACUCAUAUCCAUCUUUCUCGAGUCCUCUGUAGUGUAUAUUCAUCUGGUAAGGUUUUUAAUUAUGUUUUCUAAUUUGACCUAAUUAUUAGUACUUAUAUGAACUUUCUCUAUUUGGUUUUUUGCAAGAAGUUCAACAGAGGUCUAAUCCCUUACAAGGUUUUUGGUAUCCAAAAAGAGAAAGACAAUUUGGGGUUUUGACAAAGAAAAAAAAAGAGAUGUUUACUCUUAUUAUUGCAGGCUAUUAAUCAUCAUGAAAGCCUCUUGUGUAUAACUUCUUCAUUAUCCAAGAAAAGAAAAGAUACCGACAAGAAAUUGAAAUUUUGUUAGGAGUUUAAUUUGCAAGUGGAAAAAUCCCUUCAAAUUACUAUAAAAUCUAACUGAAAUAAAAAUGGUUUCAUUCGUGCACCAGAAUUGGUUUUCUAAAAAUCAAGAUUUUGGUUGUAAAUGGAGUAAAAUCAGAUGGAUCCCAAGAAAAUGUUUAACCAUGAUUUGCACUAGAGUUUUUCUAAUAUCAAACACUGCUUCUGUUAUCCUUAUUUUUUUUUUCUACUGUUGCUUUACUUUUGGAGAUGCAUGAAAGAAAAGAUAUCUCCUUGGCUUUGGAAUCCUUUGGCAAUAGGAUCGACUUGUAUUACAAAAUUGAUACUCUUUAUUGCUUAAAAAAAAUAGGGAUGCAUGUAUGUGUACUUUUAUAUGUAUAUAUCCUGGUUUCUAAAAAUUAAUCUUAAAUUAUCGUAUUGUGCAGGGUAUCACUUCCUAAUUAUUGAGGGGUUUCAUCAUUUACAACCAAAAACUAAAUCUAACCUUUUCACAAAACAUUCUCAUGGAAUAAGCCACCCAUGGUAGACCCGAUAAAUACAACAUCCUAUAGCAGUAGCAAACACAUUUAAGUAGAUUGCUUCUGUUGUUUCUACCAUAUGCUUAGAAUCUUGUCAUUUUUGUGUAUCACUGGAUUGUGAUUCAAGAUGUCUCUUCUCUCAAGAAUCUUCCAUUUGUUUUUUUGAACAAUGAAGUAUUGCUGUUUUUUCUUAUAAAUGUUUUUUUUCUUAUUUAUGCAUUUUACUUUGAAGAUACAAUGCCAUAAUGCAAUAAACUGUCUAUGCUUGUACAUAUGGUUUUGUGUAAAGAAAUAAGAAUGUAUGUUGUAGAGAAUAAAACAUGCAUACUGAAGGGCGCCUUGCCGCCUUGCAUAUAUAGAAAAGUAUAGAUCCUUGUAUA
Lactuca sativa (garden lettuce) is the source of this 2121-nucleotide long non-coding RNA. RefSeq lists it as uncharacterized. NCBI's taxonomy places the organism in Eukaryota, Viridiplantae, Streptophyta, Magnoliopsida, Asterales, Asteraceae. The record is from RefSeq and is a predicted model, not a curated record.